Long non-coding RNA from Magnolia sinica, 849 nucleotides. RefSeq lists it as uncharacterized. The transcript has 4 exons. Lineage: Eukaryota; Viridiplantae; Streptophyta; Magnoliopsida; Magnoliales; Magnoliaceae. The record is from RefSeq and is a predicted model, not a curated record.
UGAAAUCGCUCAACAAGGAAUGUUUUGGUGGUUAAAACUGUUUGUCAUGUCAUAGAUUAGAUGAUCCAGUACAAAAUCUCCCUGAUCAGAUGAUUUUAGCUAUUUAGCAGUGGAAUGUUUCUCGUGAACUUGAAUGGGCACGGUUUGAACUGCAGGGGAUGCAAAUGGAAGUUACCUAGAGUGGGAAAGAAGACUGCUAAUAAACUCAUUUGGCUUCCUAGUUGUUGCUUGCAUAUAUAAUAAGAAGGGCUUCACAAUCUAACUAAUUUAUCUGUUUUGUAACGAGGUUUCCUGAAGCUAAUGGUGAAACAACAUGUAAUGUUUGGAGUCAUCAAACUAAAUAUACCAAGAGCCAUGCCGAAUACUAUUUUAGGAGCUGGAAAGGGAGAGGAUUGCUAGGUCAGAUUUGGAAAGGGCUGCCCAUGUUGAUUUAUUAGACAUCAAAACAGAGAUUUUUCCCUUCAUUUCUUAGGUAUGAAUAAGAUGGUCAUUAAUAAUUUGGACAAACUCUUUGUUACAAAUGAUGCUGCAACUAUUGUGAAUGAACUUGAGGUACAACAUCCUGCUGCAAGAUUCUGGUGUAAGCAGGCAAAGCACAACAGGAAGAAAUUAGCGAUGGAGCUAAUUUGACGAUAUCUUUUGUUAGGGAGCUUCUCCAAAAUGCGGAGGAGCUUAUUAGGAUGGGAUUGCAUCCAAGUGAAAUCAUUAGUGGCUACACAAAAGUGAUCAAUAAGACGGUUGAAAUUUUAGAUGAGUUGGUUGAAAAGGGCUCGGAAACAAUGGAUGUGCGGAACAAGGAUGAAGUAGCUCUAUUGAUGCGUUGUUCAUGCCAUUUGGCAUUGGGUAAUU